Molecule: ribosomal RNA, 497 nt
Filed under: uncultured bacterium
Lineage: Bacteria
Description: partial 16S ribosomal RNA
Rfam family: Bacterial small subunit ribosomal RNA
Source: RNAcentral
GAUGAACGCUGGCGGCGUGCCUAAUACAUGCAAGUCGAGCGAACAGAUGAGGAGCUUGCUCCUCUGACGUUAGCGGCGGACGGGUGAGUAACACGUGGAUAACCUACCUAUAAGACUGGGAUAACUUCGGGAAACCGGAGCUAAUACCGGAUAAUAUAUUGAACCGCAUGGUUCAAUAGUGAAAGACGGCUUUGCUGUCACUUAUAGAUGGAUCCGCGCCGCAUUAGCUAGUUGGUAAGGUAACGGCUUACCAAGGCAACGAUGCGUAGCCGACCUGAGGGGGUGAUCGGCCACACUGGAACUGAGACACGGUCCAGACUCCUACGGGAGGCAGCAGUAGGGAAUCUUCCGCAAUGGGCGAAAGCCUGACGGAGCAACGCCGCGUGAGUGAUGAAGGUCUUCGGAUCGUAAAACUCUGUUAUUAGGGAAGAACAAAUGUGUAAGUAACUAUGCACGUCUUGACGGUACCUAAUCAGAAAGCCACGGCUAACUACGUG